Molecule: ribosomal RNA, 95 nt
Filed under: Glaesserella parasuis
Lineage: Bacteria; Pseudomonadati; Pseudomonadota; Gammaproteobacteria; Pasteurellales; Pasteurellaceae
Description: partial 16S ribosomal RNA
Rfam family: Bacterial small subunit ribosomal RNA
Source: RNAcentral
UUAAAUUGAAGAGUUUGAUCAUGGCUCAGAUUGAACGCUGGCGGCAGGCUUAACACAUGCAAGUCGAACGGUAGCAGGGAGGAAGCUUGCUUUCU